GACGAACGCUGGCGGCGUGCUUAACACAUGCAAGUCGAACGGAAAGGCCCUGCUUUUGUGGGGUGCUCGAGUGGCGAACGGGUGAGUAACACGUGAGUAACCUGCCCUUGACUUUGGGAUAACUUCAGGAAACUGGGGCUAAUACCGGAUAGGAGCUCCUGCUGCAUGGUGGGGGUUGGAAAGUUUCGGCGGUUGGGGAUGGACUCGCGGCUUAUCAGCUUGUUGGGGGGGUAGUGGCUUACCAAGGCUUUGACGGGUAGCCGGCCUGGGAGGGUGACCGGCCACAUGGGGACUGAGAUACGGCCCAGACUCCUACGGGAGGCAGCAGUGGGGAAUAUUGCGCAAUGGGCGGAAGCCUGAUGCAGCAACGCCGCGUGCGGGAUGACGGCCUUCGGGUUGUAAACCGCUUUCGCCUGUGACGAGGCGUGAGUGACGGUAAUGGGUAAAGAAGCACCGGCUAACUACGUG
Molecule: ribosomal RNA, 468 nt
Filed under: uncultured bacterium
Lineage: Bacteria
Description: partial 16S ribosomal RNA
Rfam family: Bacterial small subunit ribosomal RNA
Source: RNAcentral